Peromyscus eremicus (cactus mouse) is the source of this 495-nucleotide long non-coding RNA. RefSeq lists it as uncharacterized. The record is from RefSeq and is a predicted model, not a curated record. The transcript is spliced from 3 exons. Lineage: Eukaryota; Metazoa; Chordata; Mammalia; Rodentia; Cricetidae.
UAUGGAGUAUCUGAGGGAAAGCUGCUUUUUAAAUAAAAAGCCUCAAAAAAAAAAAAAGAGAGAGAGAGAGAGCUUUGAAGCACAUGCCUGUGGAGUUUUAAAAGGAUCACCAGGAAAAGAAAAAUUGGAUUGGAUUGGAUAUUUUUUUUUUUACUGACAAGUUUUAGAUUAUGUUCCUGAUUCUUUGGUGCCCUCAUGUCAACUAAAGUAAGAGAGGAGGACAUGGAAUAUGAUAAGUCUGAAAGCCUUUGGGUCAAACACAGAGGAAAGAAGAAAUAUAUCACACUUCAAUAGGAAGUCAAGUAAUUCACAGAAAGUUCAAUGAGGACAGAAUUUAAGAGGCAUUCAAGGAGGGUGAAAAGGGACCUUGGACUGGAAGCCAUGACCAGGCUUUUGAGGAGAUCAAGAGAACAAGAAAGCCAAUCUUUUGAUAUAGGAGGUUCACAGGACUCCAAAAAAAAAAUCCUGCCAUUGUAUUAUUCUUCAGCAAUUGAG